GACGUAGGGCGCGAGCGUUGUCCGGAUUUAUUGGGCGUAAAGAGCUCGUAGGCGGCUUGUCGCGUCGACUGUGAAAUCCCGCGGCUCAACUGCGGGUCUGCAGUCGAUACGGGCAGGCUAGAGUUCGGUAGGGGAGACUGGAAUUCCUGGUGUAGCGGUGAAAUGCGCAGAUAUCAGGAGGAACACCGAUGGCGAAGGCAGAUCUCUGGGCCGUUACUGACGCUGAGGAGCGAAAGCGUGGGGAGCGAACAGG
Molecule: ribosomal RNA, 253 nt
Filed under: uncultured bacterium
Lineage: Bacteria
Description: partial 16S ribosomal RNA
Rfam family: Bacterial small subunit ribosomal RNA
Source: RNAcentral